UUUUUCAACAUGGAACUGUCUUUUGUAGACAAUAAAUAAUAAUAAAAAAUGUCUACAAAAACUGAUUAAUGACUCAAGUGUAACGUGUAAGCAUUAUUAUUUUCAUGUUGACCGACACAGUCGUGAGGGUCUAGAAAUAUUGGGGUGAAUUCAAAGUUAUUAAGACACUUUUUGCCAUUGAAAUGAUUUGGAAAAAGUACCUAAACCUAAAUGCACCAUACUUUAUGAUGUAUUUAAGUAAUCGUCUGUAUUAAAUUGAUUUUUAAAUGUUCUUUUUUUCUAUAAAUGAAACAAAUAGAGCCCCACUGACCCAAAAACAACAAAAAUAAGUCCAUUAUGUAGGCUACGGAAAGACUCGUCGCAUUUUUUAAAAAAAUAAACGGACAAGCAGAACUAUACAAUUGCAAUUACAGCAAAUAAAUGUCCAUUUGGUUUAAUUCUUCCUGGGAUUCGAUGGUUUCUGUCCAUUUGCAUGAAUUAUUGUGCAAAACAAACAAACGCGCGCAUUCUGUUCAGAUUGAAUCGUCGUCACACAUCGAUACUGAACAAAUUGCUGACGCUAAAAAAGGAAUAAUAUGAAUUCACCCAUACUAAUGUGACCUGAAGAAAGUUUGUACAGCAUGUUCGUCCACUACGGAUGGACACUGACUUGUCACCUUGUAAGGUGUUGCCUUAUUGCUGAAGGUCCAGACUGACCGUGGGGCCCCUGGGGGCCCUCACCCUUCACCUUUCCCAUCUCUCAGGUGCCAGGCCCCUGUAUGUAAGGUGAGGAUGCCCUGGGGCAGGGAUUGGCCAGCAUGCCUCUCUGUGGGGGUCUCCACGGGUGCUGAUGUUCUUCUAGUCCCCCUGCUAUGAGGAAAGACCAUAAUCAGAGGAAGAGGAAAUAUCACUUUCUACUGACAUCUGACCCUUGCACGGAAAUGCCGGGAAAAAACAAGAUGUAAGUGUACACCAGUGGCCCCUAUAGAGCUCUGAGGGCCCGUGAGGGGCAGGAAUGUCUCUGUAUCCCUCCAUCCCUCCAGCUGCUCAGGUUACAGCAUUCAUAGAUCACGCUGACACUGCAGGAUGGCUGCCGUGGCCCAGUCCUGCCCGGAGAGGAGGCCGCGGGGUCUGGCAGGGCUGUCCGUUGCAUGCUGGUCGCAGUUUCCACCCACAUCUUUGGGACAAAUGCAUGUUAAAGAUAGCCUGGGCUGUCUGAGUGCCCAAAACAGAGUUUCCUGAAGAUGAAUCGAUGCCCUUCCAGAUGGGGGUCAGAUCAGCUCAGGUGAGCUGUGGGUCCGAUCGGAGCCCCUCUCCCCACCCUGCUCUCACUCAUGUGGGUCUUUUACCGGGCGCAGUCAAGUAGAGAGGAAUGCUGAGGAAGUGACUGUGCUCCAGGCGAAUAUCUGAGCGUGGGGCUGAGAGACAGACAGAUAGAAGGAUAGAGGGAUGACAAAAGACGAGAGCUGAGAGUGGCCCCGGGGCCGAGUCGACACGCCCACCUGUUGACUGCAGUCCGGGCGCUAAGUGCACUGUGAAUGGACACUUACAAUGGCCGUGGCAAGAUGAUCCGCUCUGUCUGUCUUUAGCAGCUUCUCUCUGAUCGCCUCUUCCUCUCGGUGUUGACACCGAUCAGCAGGUGAUAGAUCGACACAAACCAUGAGAAACAAUCUUGGGAGAUCUUGUGCUCAUUCUUACCAUCUGGCUUAAAUUCUUCUUAAAACCUUCGAGCAGUGUUUUUAACUUCAGUGGGUGUGUAUGUACACGGUUUUCUGCUCCUGGCAUUGUGUUGACCAAGUCUUGAGGUUAAUUGUUUCACACUGAAACAAACUGUCCAAUCAUCAGUCAGACUUUUGGCAGACGUUAUGGUCAAUAUGAAAUAAAAAAGGGGUUUCAAUGAAAUAUCAACUUCUCAGAUGUUUCAGAAGAUGACUGAGAAAAUGUUUCAGGUAAAAAUAGAAACAAAUGGUUGAUUAUAGAGGUAUAAAAUGAAAAUAAAUAGCAAAAUAGAUGAGAAUGAGAAAUGCAUAAAAAUUAACAUCUCUGUCUUUCGACCUUGUAGUAUCUUGGCAAAUCUGAGCACUUUAUUGGUAUAUAUUUUAAAUAAAUUCAGC
Molecule: long non-coding RNA, 2093 nt
Organism: Megalobrama amblycephala (Wuchang bream)
Lineage: Eukaryota; Metazoa; Chordata; Actinopteri; Cypriniformes; Xenocyprididae
Exons: 5
Source: RefSeq, a predicted model, not a curated record